AUAGUUGGAUGAAGCAAAUAUUUCACGGUAACUCCUAUCUAUUGGAACGCCAAUUUGCACCAAUCACAGCCUGUAGUUUAUGAUCUACAGUCUGUUCAACCAAUUACAAUUGAGCCCGCCUAAACAGGCAGAUUUUAAGAUAAGUAUCCGCAGUUUCGGUUGACGUGUGAAGUGGUACGUUCAGCGUUUGUCUGUUGUGGUGUUGUCUGCCUCGUAUUAAAGUUUGAUAUGGCAUAAUGUGGCACAGUAUAACAGGAGGAUACACCUAAAACAGUCGCUCAUGAGGGAUUGUUUGUAUGUCAAAACUCCAAUAAGUCAAAACGCGACGUACGUUUGCGGCCAAAGGCUUUGUGAGGAUACUAGUAUGCUAGAACUAGCUAGUGUGCUAGUAGGCUGCCAAAUAAUGUAAAAUGACCGCCAGGGACAGCUAUUGAAGUGUCCACCUACAGCAGCACAGAAGGAGAUCUGGCUGAAGAAGAGAGGCUUCCCUGUUUGGAGUCUCAAGAGUCAAGGAGAGCAGCAAAAACUGUUGACAGCAGUGUUUGAAGUAAAUGAGAAAGCUGAACCCUUCCAGAGCUUCUCAAAGGCGGCAAGAGUGCAAGAUGGGCAAGAAGGACGAUGAUGAUGGGACUGACCUUCUGAUCAGGUUGGGAGAGUCCCCAGGGCAAACCCAGGAAGGACUACACUUCCCACCUGUCCUGGGAGUGUCUGAGGAUUUCCCCCAAGAGGAACUGGAGGAAGUCUUGGAGAAAAGGACAUGAGAUGCUCUGGUUGCCACAUACUGUUAGCAGCUAGGAGAUGGAUGGGUCAUGCCUCUCUUGUUAAGCUUUAUAUUGUAGAUGACUGGCACUGACCAAUUUUAAAUGUUAGAUUUUCACCUGCAUUUCUACACCUGUGUACAGGGUUAUGAUCAGUUUGGUAAGGCAACUGUACAAAUUUCAAUCAGCCCACUGAGGCCACGAAAUUAGAGCUAUGUUAGAGCUGAAAACAGCACCUCUGUUUGAAAGCGAUAAAUAAGAAGCAGCAGGGGCCAUUCUGAUAACCUUUUCGAUAACACUAAUGUAAUUAUUAUUACAUUUUGCUGUCUGCAUGUUUGCCUAAUUCUGUUUAUGCCUGAAAUUCAAUUCCAGCUUAAUAAAACCAUCAAUUUCUUUUGGUUACUUCACCAAUAUAACUUAGAGUAAUGAACUCAUUUUGCUGUUGUAUGGAAAUUUUGUCUCAUUACAAUAAUUUUGCCUGAUUCACUCGGCAGCCGAUAUUAAGAGUAAGGCCCUACAGUCAUAGACUGGGUUAUUAUGCUAUACAUCACAAAGUG
Molecule: long non-coding RNA, 1315 nt
Organism: Thunnus maccoyii (southern bluefin tuna)
Lineage: Eukaryota; Metazoa; Chordata; Actinopteri; Scombriformes; Scombridae
Exons: 3
Source: RefSeq, a predicted model, not a curated record